AGAGUUUGAUCCUGGCUCAGAACGUACGCUGGCGGCACGCCUAACACAUGCAAGUCGAACGAAGUAGCAAUACUUAGUGGCAGACGGGUGAGUAACAUGUAGGUAUCUGCCCUUUGGCCUGGAAUAACACGAGGAAACUUGUGCUAAUACCGGAUAAGUCUUCACGGAGAAAGCUUUAUGCACCAUUGGAUGAGCCUGCACUUGAUUAGUUUGUUGGUGGGGUAAUGGCCUACCAAGACUAUGAUCAAUAGCUGAUUUGAGAGGAUGAUCAGCCACAUUGGGACUGAGACACGGCCCAAACUCCUACGGGAGGCAGCAGUGGGGAAUCUUGCACAAUGGAGGAAACUCUGAUGCAGCGAUGCCGCGUGAGUGAAGAAGGCCCUUGGGUUGUAAAGCUCUUUCGUCGGGGAAGAAAAUGACUGUACCCGAAUAAGAAGGUCCGGCUAACUUCGUGCCAGCAGCCGCGGUAAUACGAAGGGACCUAGCGUAGUUCGGAAUUACUGGGCUUAAAGAGUUCGUAGGUGGUUGAAAAAGUUGGUGGUGAAAUCCCAGAGCUUAACUCUGGAACUGCCAUCAAAACUUUUCAGCUAGAGUAUGAUAGAGGAAAGCAGAAUUUCUAGUGUAGAGGUGAAAUUCGUAGAUAUUAGAAAGAAUACCAAAUGCGAAGGCAGCUUUCUGGAUCAUUA
RNAcentral lists this ribosomal RNA (686 nucleotides) under uncultured Alphaproteobacteria bacterium. RNAcentral's name for it is "bacterial SSU rRNA". It matches the Rfam family "Bacterial small subunit ribosomal RNA", at positions 8 to 739 of the family's 1533-position model. Lineage: Bacteria; Pseudomonadati; Pseudomonadota; Alphaproteobacteria. The record is from RNAcentral.